CCUAGGGGAGGCAGCAGUGGGGAAUAUUGGACAAUGGGGGGAACCCUGAUCCAGCCAUGCCGCGUGUGUGAAGAAGGCCCUCGGGUUGUAAAGCACUUUCAGUGAGGAAGAACGCCUGGUGGUUAAUACCCAUCAGGAAAGACAUCACUCACAGAAGAAGCACCGGCUAACUCCGUGCCAGCAGCCGCGGUAAUACGGAGGGUGCGAGCGUUAAUCGGAAUUACUGGGCGUAAAGCGCGCGUAGGUGGCUUGAUAAGCCGGUUGUGAAAGCCCCGGGCUCAACCUGGGAACGGCAUCCGGAACUGUCAAGCUAGAGUGCAGGAGAGGAAGGUAGAAUUCCCGGUGUAGCGGUGAAAUGCGUAGAGAUCGGGAGGAAUACCAGUGGCGAAGGCGGCCUUCUGGACUGACACUGACACUGAGGUGCGAAAGCGUGGGUAGCAAACAGGAUUAGAUACCCUGGUAGUC
RNAcentral lists this ribosomal RNA (465 nucleotides) under Vreelandella stevensii. RNAcentral describes it as "partial 16S ribosomal RNA". It matches the Rfam family "Bacterial small subunit ribosomal RNA", at positions 338 to 795 of the family's 1533-position model. The record is from RNAcentral. Lineage: Bacteria; Pseudomonadati; Pseudomonadota; Gammaproteobacteria; Oceanospirillales; Halomonadaceae.